RNAcentral lists this ribosomal RNA (479 nucleotides) under uncultured bacterium. RNAcentral's name for it is "partial 16S ribosomal RNA". It matches the Rfam family "Bacterial small subunit ribosomal RNA", at positions 28 to 523 of the family's 1533-position model. The record is from RNAcentral.
GACGAACGCUGGCGGCGUGCUUAACACAUGCAGGUCGAACGGUAAGGCCCUUCGGGGGUACACGAGUGGCGAACGGGUGAGUAACACGUGGGUGAUCUGCCCUGCACUUCGGGAUAAGCCUGGGAAACUGGGUCUAAUACCGGAUAGGACCACUGCCUGCAUGGGUGGUGGUGGAAAGCUUUUGCGGUGUGGGAUGGGCCCGCGGCCUAUCAGCUUGUUGGUGGGGUGAUGGCCUACCAAGGCGACGACGGGUAGCCGGCCUGAGAGGGUGACCGGCCACACUGGGACUGAGAUACGGCCCAGACUCCUACGGGAGGCAGCAGUGGGGAAUAUUGCACAAUGGGCGCAAGCCUGAUGCAGCGACGCCGCAUGAGGGAUGACGGCCUUCGGGUUGUAAACCUCUUUCGGCACCGACGAAGCGCAAGUGACGGUAGGUGCAGAAGAAGGACCGGCCAACUACGUGCCAGCCGCCGCGGUAA